Regulatory RNA element from Pelistega indica, 81 nucleotides. It matches the Rfam family "Alpha operon ribosome binding site". Rfam says of the family: The bacterial alpha operon ribosome binding site is surrounded by this complex pseudoknotted structure. Translation of the mRNA produces 4 ribosomal protein products, one of which (S4) acts as a translational repressor by binding to the nested pseudoknot region. NCBI's taxonomy places the organism in Bacteria, Pseudomonadati, Pseudomonadota, Betaproteobacteria, Burkholderiales, Alcaligenaceae. The record is from Rfam.
GCAACGUCAAGGUUAAUCCUUACGUUUUUUAUAUAACGAGGAACAGUCAUGGCCCGUAUCGCAGGCAUUAACAUUCCGCCG